This 149-nucleotide signal recognition particle RNA is filed under the name Gorilla gorilla gorilla (western lowland gorilla). Its description in RNAcentral is "Metazoan signal recognition particle RNA". It matches the Rfam family "Metazoan signal recognition particle RNA". Rfam says of the family: The signal recognition particle (SRP) is a universally conserved ribonucleoprotein. The record is from Rfam by way of RNAcentral. Lineage: Eukaryota; Metazoa; Chordata; Mammalia; Primates; Hominidae.
GCCAGGUGUGGUGGCUCACACCUGUAAUCCCAGCUACUCGGGAGGCUGAGGUACAGGAAUCACUUGAACCCAGGAGGGCAGAGGUUGCCGUGAGCCAAGAUCAUGCCACUGCACUUCAGCCUGGGUGACAGAGAGAGACUCUGUCUCAA